CCCUUAGAUGUUCUGGGCUGCACGCGCGCGACAAUGACGUUUGCAACGAGAUUGCGAGGCCGUCAGGUCGAGCUGAUCUUGCAAGCUGCGUCGUGAUAGGGACAGUCGAUUGCAAUUAUUCGACUCGAACGAGGAAUUCCUUGUAAUCGCGCAUCAUCAGUGCGCGCUGAAUACGUCCCUGCCCUUUGUACACACCGCCCGUCGCUCCUACCGAUGAAUCGUCCGGUGAAGUUCACAGAGUGGCGGUUCGUGGAGUUGCUCGCGAAGUGAAAUGGACCUCACGAUUUAGAGGAAGGAGAAGUCGUAACA
RNAcentral lists this ribosomal RNA (309 nucleotides) under uncultured eukaryote. RNAcentral's name for it is "partial 18S ribosomal RNA". It matches the Rfam family "Eukaryotic small subunit ribosomal RNA", at positions 1470 to 1796 of the family's 1831-position model. The record is from RNAcentral.